Molecule: ribosomal RNA, 253 nt
Filed under: uncultured bacterium
Lineage: Bacteria
Description: partial 16S ribosomal RNA
Rfam family: Bacterial small subunit ribosomal RNA
Source: RNAcentral
UACGGAGGGGCUAGCGUUGUUCGGAAUUACUGGGCGUAAAGCGCACGUAGGCGGCUUUGCAAGUCAGAGGUGAAAGCCCGGGGCUCAACCCCGGAAUUGCCUUUGAGACUGCAUCGCUAGAAUUGUGGAGAGGUAAGUGGAAUUCCGAGUGUAGAGGUGAAAUUCGUAGAUAUUCGGAAGAACACCAGUGGCGAAGGCGACUCACUGGACACGUAUUGACGCUGAGGUGGCGAAAGCGUGGGGAGCAAACAGG